This 219-nucleotide unclassified non-coding RNA is filed under the name uncultured Actinomycetes bacterium. RNAcentral's name for it is "uncultured actinobacterium contains 16S-23S intergenic spacer region". Lineage: Bacteria; Bacillati; Actinomycetota; Actinomycetes. The record is from RNAcentral.
UCCGGUUUGGCACCGGCAGUCUCCCUAGAGUUCCCGGCAUGACCCGCUGGCAACUAAGGAUAGGGGUUGCGCUCGUUGCGCCACUUAAGGCAACACCUCACGGCACGAGCUGACGACAGCCAUGCACCACCUGUGCAGGCUCCGUAGAGCACCCGCUUUCACGGGUUUCACCCUGCAUGUCAAGCCCAGGUAAGGUGGGGAUGACGUUUACGUGCACUU